AUGGAGCCAUCACAGCAGAAGACCAUGAGCCCAGUGAUGGAGUCUGCCAAGGGCUUUGUGCUUGGAGCCAUGGCUGGAGGUACUCUGGGAGCCACAGAGGUACCGCUGAAUCAAAUUAUGUCACAGAUAAUCUCAGGUGCCCAAAUGAAGCCCGUUAUGUCUGGCGUUAAGAGCAUCGGGGCUCUGGGACUGGGUGCACUUCUAGGAACUACUGCACUCAUCACAUCAAUGGCAUUGGUGGUAACGGGGGUCACUGUAGCUGCUUCUGUGGCCUUGUGUCUAUUGAGAUUGAGGAAGAAUGAAGGAUGGGUGGCAGCAGGAUUGGCCGCGGCUCUCACCACGACUUCAAGCGGGGCAGCACUAGGGACCAUCAUUGAAAAUCUGAGCAUGAGCUACGGGAUGGUCAGCCUGCUCUGGGCUUUGGGGAUUUUUACAGUUCUGAAACUAUUGAUGCACUUCUUUGUCAAGCAUACAUGCACAGAACGGGAAUUCUGUGGAUCAAUCGCUGAUGCUACUAAGAGAGAACAAGCAAGACUACUUGCUUUGGAAAUAGAUCUAAGACGGCGGGCUGCAUUGGAAUUGGAAAAGCGGAUUGAGGCCUGCGAGAUGAAGAAACCAGAAGAGGAUGGUCUGGCUGCUUGGGAGGCCCAACGAAGAGAAAGAGAAGAAAUAAAGAGACAGCAAAGGAAGGCUGUUGAGUUGGAAAUGCAGCAGAGGACUUCUCGACAACGCCUGCUGAACGCGGUGGCCAAAUACAUGGAGUUUCUUGCAUUUUCUGACAUUCCGAUGACUGUGACUGCUUUUGUGACUGCUGGCUUUGGCAUCUUUGGCUUUGGAGAUUACAGAUUUGUUUUUGUUGUCCUGUUAGUCAUGGUGUUAUGCAUGUCAUUUUGGCUCAUGAGUUCUUGGCGUUUGAACUUUUGGAUGCUAAUGGGAUGCAUGGGAAUGUUUGCCACAUUUGCCAUUGCCGUGCUGACUGUUCAUGCCGGGCAGGAGGUGGCAGGCAUGUCUGUCAAAAUGCGCUUUGCAGGACAAAACAUGAGCAAGGAGAACAUCAGCAUCCGUAUGACUCAUGCAUCCUCCGUACAGGCAAUUUCUGCAGGAUUCUUUGUCUCAGAAGUCUGUCAGGUUGGUUUAGGGGCCACAGUCGGUGGUCCAGUGGCACGAGAGGCAGGAGGAAAGGUGAUUUUGGGGGCGUCUGUAACCGCUGUGGUUGUUUUGUCGAUAGUUGAAGCGUCGACACAGAUGCUGGGAGUCGGUGGUAAGGCGGGGGCUUUGCUGGGGGCGGCUGGAGCUGCUGGUGUGUCCAUGGGAGGCGCUGCAGCCAUAGCUGUGAAAUCAUCCACAUGGGGAGGAACAAUGGGAACCACUGCUGGGAUGAUCUUUGGCUUAUUGGUGUUUAGAAAGUGGGACAUUGUUAACAUAGGGCUUCAGAUAUUUGUGGCAUACCUGUUUGCCAUGACAAAUCUUUACUGAAAUGCUAUGAUGUAACUGCUCUUUUUAGUAUGGUACUACAGUGGGCAUGGAAAGAAUCAGCAUCAAUAAAAUUGCUUCCUUCUUUUUCUGUUCUCA
Molecule: long non-coding RNA, 1572 nt
Organism: Cyprinus carpio (common carp)
Lineage: Eukaryota; Metazoa; Chordata; Actinopteri; Cypriniformes; Cyprinidae
Source: Ensembl